AUGAACGCUAGCUACAGGCUAACACAUGCAAGUCGAGGGGCAGCAUGAAGUCAGCUUGCUGACUUGAUGGCGACCGGCGCACGGGUGCGUAACACGUAUCCAAUCUACCCAUGGCUCAGGGAUAGCCUUUCGAAAGAAAGAUUAAUACCUGAUGGUUUCAUGAGUCCGCAUGGACUUAUGAAUAAAGAUUUAUCGGCGAUGGAUGAGGAUGCGUCCGAUUAGCUUGUUGGCGGGGUAACGGCCCACCAAGGCGACGAUCGGUAGGGGCUCUGAGAGGAGGAUCCCCCACAUUGGAACUGAGACACGGGCCAGACUCCUACGGGAGGCAGCAGUGAGGAAUAUUGGUCAAUGGCCGAGAGGCUGAACCAGCCAAGUAGCGUGCAGGAUGACGGCCCUACGGGUUGUAAACUGCUUUUGCGGGAGGAUAAAGCGCACUACGUGUAGUGCUUUGCAGGUAUCCCGUGAAUAAGGACCGGCUAAUUCCGUGCCAGCCGCGGC
Molecule: ribosomal RNA, 498 nt
Filed under: uncultured bacterium
Lineage: Bacteria
Description: bacterial SSU rRNA
Rfam family: Bacterial small subunit ribosomal RNA
Source: RNAcentral